This 6399-nucleotide long non-coding RNA is filed under the name Sus scrofa (pig). RNAcentral's name for it is "lncRNA (ENSSSCG00000059441.1)". The record is from RNAcentral. Lineage: Eukaryota; Metazoa; Chordata; Mammalia; Artiodactyla; Suidae.
GGAGGGGCACUGGAAACCACAUAAGCUAUGAGAUGAUCUGAGAUUUUGAGAUUAUUGCAGAAAUGAGUCUGAUUGAAGUACAUGACUGUAUACCUGCGUCCCAAGCUUAUUAAUCACAUUGAGAUACAGAAAUAUGCCACUCUUGGGCCACACACAUGUGUACAUAUACACACACAUAUAUUUGUAUGUAUCUUUUUCUUAAAAGGCUUAAAAAGUUGCUGAAACAGAGCAUUUUUAUGUUAGGGCUCUUGCUGGACUUGAAAUAGACCUGGCCUGGAUGGGCUUUUCUCUCUCCCUGCCUGGGGCCAGGCAGGCUCCCCUGGACUGGGAUGCGCCUGCACCUCCCCCACCUGGGACGGGAAGCCAGUAGCGGUUGUGCUGGGAAUCUUCGGCUCUCCAGUUGCCCUCAGGAGUCUCAGCAGGUCCCUAGAGCAAGCUGAAGGCUCUGGGCCACAGCUCACUAAAUAGCUCCCACGUUCUGUUCUGUUAGCACGGUGGUCGGUGGUUGCAGCAGGAAGGGGAGGGAGGCACGGGUGAAGGGAGGUGGGAAGUGACUGCUGGUGGCCCAGUCAGUGUUAGGUGCCAUUUAGGUGCUGACACUGGUGGCUGGGCUAUUCACAACAGGCCUCUGCAGAUUGUGUGAGGCUGCCUAGCAGAGCCCCCUGGGACUCGGGGAAUGUGACUCCCUUUCUGGUGAUUCUACCAGAUGGAGAUAUUUCAGAGACAUCACCUUAUAGGAGACAGAACCAACUGUAGAAGAGGGCCACAUACCUCCCCAACGCAGUGAAAGUCACAAGUCUGGAGGCAGUCAGAGCUGGGAAGAAACAGGUGCACAUGGUGUGAAACAGUCACUCAAAUUCCCACCCUCUCAGGCCACAGAAUGUGUAAGACCUGAAGUGCCAGGGUAUUUGCUUAUGCUGGGAGGGUCCUCCCUCCGAGGGGAGAGAGCUUUGAGGGUUACCCAAAGGGCAGAAGUGCUGAUGAACACUUGCGUUGAGUCACAAGCAUCUCUUGACCCGCAUCAUGUUCUGAGGUUUCUCCUUUGACCAUGGCCAGAGAUGCAGCCAUGUCCUAAGAAUGUUUGGGAUCCAGAUAGGCGCUGUCACCCAAAAGGCCUGCACUGGGCGGGGCGGGGUGCGGGGAGGAGACCGUAGGAUUUGGACAAAGCCCCUGGAAGCCCUUUUAAGCCCACUCCACAUGAGCAGCUUCUGGUGUCUCCCCAACCUGUCCCAUACACAGGUCUAUACCUUCUGACCCCCAGUGGGGUGGCAAGCGGCUAGCUGCUGUAGACUGCCAUGCCAGGAGCACACAUGACACCUCCUUCCCCAUGUUUAUGUCCCUUCAUCCCCAACAUAUAGUAUUUCCAUUAUCUUUUACCCUGCAUGGACUCUUGUGAUGAGAUGCAUUUCCAAGAAACCUCCUUUUCUCUUGGUGUUACAGGAAAGCGGCUCCUUGGAGUAUGGGGGAAAAUAGGGAGGAAGGACAUGGAAAGAUGGGAGUAUAGUCCUGGGUUGCUCAUGGGGUGUUCUUUUACUGAAAAAAAAAUUGCACAUUUGAAGAUAUAUAAGCAGGAAAGGAAGGGAAGGGAUGGAGGAAGGAAGGAAAGAAAAGAGGAAGGAAGAGGGGGAGGGAGAAGGAGGGGGAAGCUGGAAUCCAAUCUUUCUUCCUCGGGUAAUGGUUACUUUUUUAGGACUUUUUUUUUUUUUUUUUUACAUUUCUUUAGUUUUUCUGCUCACCAUUCCUCCAGUUUUAACCCAAUGAAGCUGAUGACUUGCUAACUGACUCUUUAUAAGAGUGAAACUACUUGAAAUUCUCAGGUAAUUCAGAGCUUUGAGUGCAUAAAAUUUGUAAUUUUCCCUAAAGGGCUAACAAACUAUUCCCUUUGCUACUCUGUUAGCUGUGUCUGAGGACCUGAUUUGGAUGUAUAUUUGAGGAUUUAAGGGAAGCAGAGUCACAGACACCAUUAAUUUUGAGAUUCCAAUUGUUGACCUCCACUGAACAAAUGAUCAGACAUGCAUCUAUAGAAGGAAAGUUCUAGAACUUGGCACUUCCAAGCUGAUGGUAAGUGCCCUAGUCCCUCUUGUUUCAAUGAGGUGGGAGUUUGCUGCAGGAGCUUUAGUCCCUCCUGAAACCUGCCUUUGUAUCCUGCUGGGAACCUUGUCCUCCCUUCUGUAUGUAUCCCAUCUUCAUCAUUCGUUCCUCUGUUCUGCGAAGCAGCUCUGUGAGUAGAAUAUGGCUUCUGAAGCUCAGACCAUGCUUUCUUUACUCUUGAGUUUGCUGGUCUUAAAAAUAACUUACAGUGAACUAUAGGCUGAAGAUUAAGUUGACCAGCUGAACCUCCCAAAUACACAGGAUUAUGGCCACCUUGCUCUUCACAAAAUUCUCCACCUAAGGGAAUUUAAAUAAGCCUAUUUCCAGCCCCAUCUCUCAGGAGUAGGUCAGUAUGGAAGUGGCUUAGCUAGAGAAGGAGUGGGGAAGGGCUAAAGACAUACCCUCACCUUUUAUCACACCUGACCUGCAUACUUCUUACAUGAAACUGUGUUACAGGCCAAGGAGUGUCUUUAUGCAUUUGGCUGAUGACCUUGGCUGUGUAAUGAAUGGACCCCUUUGGAUAGAAAAAGAAGCUCUUAAAACAAAAUUUAAUUUCAUUAACUGAGCACCUGUUAUAUGCAAAACAGUCCUUGCCCAUGGGUGCUGCAAUAAGGGAGGAAAAGCAUUGAUCCAAACUGUGGAAGGUGUAAAGGCUAAGAAUGACAUUCCACCUAACAGAAUAGUGUAAAGACUUGCAGUAGGAAAUCAGUGUGACCUUGGGCCAACUAUUUAGCCUCUUCCAUCAUCAGUUUUUUUGUUUCCAAAAUGUUCCUUUCAGCUCUAACACACUCUGGUCACUAUGACUCAGCUGGAAACUCAAAGAACUCUAGUGAAAGGUAGGAUGAUAAAUUCACAGAGGCACAGGGCGAAUGCUGAGAGGCUCCAGCAGAGGGAGCACUUGACUCUAAAAGUAAAGGGGGACGUCUGAGCUGAGCCCAUCAGUAUUUCCCUUCUCCAGAGCUACAGACCAAAGCUCCUGGCUGCUGCAGAUUGCACCUGGCCCUUGGUCUCAUUUAGGGAGCAGUAAUAAUGGCAGAUUUAGGUUUCCUCUCUCUGCCCUCUGCCCUGGCUGGCAGCAGCAGGAGGACCUGGGGAGGCUGGAGGAAGGCAGCCCGCCCUGUCGCAGUAGCUCAGAACUGCGCUUUCCCAUCUAGACUCCACCUGCUGUAGCUUCUGGGACUGCAGUCAGGACAUUAGCGACCUUGGGUCAGCAGGAGGUGGGGACUUGGUGGUCAGCAAAGCAUUUCCUGUCCAGAAGGAAGUUCUAGGAACCUCUGGAAGGAACACAUGGGCAAAGACCACUCUCCUAAAACCACAGGCAGACAAACUCCCAGACACCCAGGUCUGUUACUGCAGGAGGUGGUGGGUGGAAAAUAGCAGGAAACAGGUCUCGGGGGCACGGGGGCAGGUGGUUUGACCUGGUGGCUUCUCUGUGUCCCACGAAGAUGCUAGAGGAGGCCCUUUCUGGCAAAAUUGGAAACGGAGGACUCUUCUAGCAAAAUUCUUUUGUUUGCUCCUGUUGUCCAUGCCCCCAACGUAGGUUUGGGUAAAUAAUUCAAAUUUCUGGAAGGUGGUAGGAAUAAUUCAUUUUUCUUCAUACUGAAUUAGGAGUAUUGUUUUCAGUAUAGAAAAGCAUCUGAAUUUGAACACCAACUUAAGACAAAACAAACAAACAAACCCAUCCAAUUGGAGGAACCAGAGGGAAAAGCAAUAAUUUAAUUUGAAUAAGCAUGCCACUGAGACUGCAAUGUUAGUCUCCCUGACCAGCCUCCUGUGUUGUUGCACUGAUCAGAGCUUGGGAAGAGGGGUCUCUGCAAGUGAGCCUUUUAAUCCUGGUCUCAGCCCACCCCCUCAACCCUGUCACCAUGAGCUUAGACAGCAGGUUCUGGGAGCCUUGCAGAUCACAACAGCAUGGCCAGUUGGUUUCCCUUCUUCCUACUCAGAUGGGACACGAGGGGAGGAGAAUGGCUGGUGAGGACGACUCGGCACCCCUCACCCCAUGUUCAGACCUUCCUGCAUCAAGGACAAGUUCCCCAUCCCCAGGUGGAGUGUGGCCCCCACCUGGAACGAGAAACAUAGGAAGGGGUAUUUCAAGGCCGGCAAGUCACUAAUAAAAAUUAAGAUUCCACUUACCACGCACUCUGCAGUCCUCGGCUGUCCUCUCCUCCUCUGGUUCGUCAGUGGCACAUGUCAUUCUUGGUGCUCCAAGUGGCCAGGACUUCCAGGUUUCUUGGCCAGAUUAUAAGGUGGAGUAAUUCUAAUCCAACACUCAUGGUUCUCAGCUCUCUGGACAGAUGCGCACAUUUCUGUGUUCUCACUAAUACAGACCUGGUGCUAUUUGUGGCUAACAGUGCCUACGGAUGUAAUUCCUACAUUUUCUCUUUUUUUCCUAAUGCAUUGCCACCAUGGAAUCGCAUUAGAAAGAUAGAUGUCCAUGGAGGAUUUUCCAUAGCACAAGAUCUUUGUUCUUAUUCUAAAUUUUUUAGGAGGGCUUGGUUUCCAGUGUCUGAGUACCACCCCCCCCCUUUAUUUUUAACAAUGGAAAUGUUUUCCUUUCCUAUUAGCCAAAAUGAAAUUUCAGUCAAAAGAACCACAUCAGGCUCUCGCUUCCCUCUCUCCCUGGUGAGUUGAAAUGGACAGAGGUACACGGGUUGGGAUCAUUUUUGAAUCAGUUGCUCCAGGGUUCUUGCUAGAGAUGAAAGACUUUUCUGUUCCUCCACCACAGUGAGGUCAGGGCAGUGACAACAAACAUUUAACUUCUCGAAACCUUGUGGUGCCUUUUCUUGUGGUGCUUCUCUCGUGUAACUCCAGACAAGGCAGCCACUUGCAGCAAACAGCAAUGCCAGUGCUUUUCCUUGGUAUUAUGUGCCAGUGCAGUAAAAGACUUUAAUGUAUACAUAUAUAAAUAGAUAUAGAUAUAGAGAUAUCACUAUAGUUAUAUAAUUAUAUAAUUGAGGUUCUGAUGCAGCUUUGGUGGGAGUUGAUCUUUCCUCUGCAAAAAUCGACACUACUCAACCGGAACUAAGAGCUCUGGGGAGAGUUUGGACUUCCGGGAAGGGCACCAGUGAAUGAGAUGGGUUACUCCUGUCACAGGUUUUCUUCUCCUCUCUUGUGAAAGUUGCUGUCUCCAUAACAUGAUGUGUUUGCUAAGGGAGCAAAGAGCAGCUUCUUUUGAACUUCCUUUGGUGCUGAUAUUUUAAAAAUUAUGUGUUUGUUUUGCUUCCUCAUCGGUGGCCAGUAAGCUGCUUUUCCAAAAUCUCAACUCACCGAUCAAAGGUGACAGGGGACAGUCUGGGAAUAAGAGGCUAGAGGUCAGGAAUCCCUGCCUCUUAAUCCAGAUAGUUUCCUCUGUGACCUGCACAUGUUUCCCAGACUCAGUCUCCCCAUCUAAAAGAGACAUUGUACUUCCUUACCUCAUGGGGAAGGGUGACCUGAAAGGAUUCAGCAGAGGCACGAAAAUACAAAGUCAUUAUUAAUCUGGAGACAGCAACUUGACAUGUGUUUAAGAUUUUGUUUGUAUGUUUUGCUAAGAUUUUGAUCUUGGGGUUUUGCUUUGUUCCUCUCUUGCUCCUCCAUCUCCACCAUGUGGUCCGUCCUCCCUUUGGCAAUACCUUUGAAAAUUGUGUAACUGACAGACGCAACCUAAAGGGUUGGGUAGUGCUAUUUCUCCCAUGGGAACAACAUCACUAAUACUGUAUAAGGUGCUAGAAUCAAACCUCAUUUUAUAAACUUUGGUUCUUAGAGAAAAACAAAACAUGCAGAAUUCUUUCUGUGAAGCCUUACUCUAGAUUGUUAUAGCCAAUUGUUUAUCCAAAAAGAGAGAGAGAGAAUAGAAAAUAAAGAUAAGAUGCAGUGAUUCUAUAUAAAAUGUAACUAAAAGAUCUUUGCUAUUUCCUAUAUUAAUGUAAACUAUCAUAUAUAUAUAUAUUUGUAUAUAUAUAUGCUUGAGGCAGAUAGAAAGAAUGAAACAAAAUGUAGAGUAUGUUCAUCUUUAUUUUAAUUUCCAGUCGGUUCACAACUUUUAGUAUGUGAGCAAGUGAGGAUGAUGGUAGGAUGGGAGGGGAUAAGGGAUUCCUGGUAUGAUAUAGGAAAUGACUCAUUUCUGUUCUGUUCUAUAUGUUAUUAGAAGGAAUUUGACUGAAUGAGGAGAAAGGGAAAUCAACGAAAACAUAAACGUGCUUUCUAAAUGUUCUGAACAUUGACAUUAUGCUUUGGUGUUGUUUCUUCUGUAUUCUAAGUUUCUGGAGAGCGCUGUAAAACAUGUCUGCUGCCUAAGGUGUUAACACAUAAUGUUUACCUCAAGAAAGC